This 433-nucleotide ribosomal RNA is filed under the name uncultured bacterium. RNAcentral describes it as "partial 16S ribosomal RNA". It matches the Rfam family "Bacterial small subunit ribosomal RNA", at positions 29 to 507 of the family's 1533-position model. The record is from RNAcentral.
AGCGAACGCUGGCGGCAGGCCUAACACAUGCAAGUCGAACGAACUCUUCGGAGUUAGUGGCGGACGGGUGAGUAACACGUGGGAACGUGCCUUUAGGUUCGGAAUAACUCAGGGAAACUUGUGCUAAUACCGAAUGUGCCCUUCGGGGGAAAGAUUUAUCGCCUUUAGAGCGGCCCGCGUCUGAUUAGCUAGUUGGUGAGGUAAAGGCUCACCAAGGCGACGAUCAGUAGCUGGUCUGAGAGGAUGAUCAGCCACAUUGGGACUGAGACACGGCCCAAACUCCUACGGGAGGCAGCAGUGGGGAAUCUAGCGCAAUGGGCGAAAGCCUGACGCAGCCAUGCCGCGUGAAUGAUGAAGGUCUUAGGAUUGUAAAAUUCUUUCACCGGGGACGAUAAUGACGGUACCCGGAGAAGAAGCCCCGGCUAACUUCGUG